UGGGUUCUGAUAACUUUGUA
Molecule: small nuclear RNA, 20 nt
Filed under: Arabidopsis thaliana (thale cress)
Lineage: Eukaryota; Viridiplantae; Streptophyta; Magnoliopsida; Brassicales; Brassicaceae
Description: snRNA_14813
Source: RNAcentral